Homo sapiens (human) is the source of this 827-nucleotide long non-coding RNA. Ensembl annotates it as long intergenic non-protein coding RNA 1495. The record is from Ensembl. NCBI's taxonomy places the organism in Eukaryota, Metazoa, Chordata, Mammalia, Primates, Hominidae.
AGACUUCAUCACAGCAGGAGCCGUGAGGCAAGAAGCUCUGGGAUCAAUUAAAAUGCCAGGCUUUUCCAGGCUGGUUUCCAGCGCAUCUGUGCAUGAUUCCACAUAAAUUUAGGGAAUUAGAGAUCAGACAAAGUUAUAAGACAGCUGUUGAUGUCCCACUCACCAGUUAGGAGGAUUGAGAAGAAGCUGCUUUCCAGGAAAUCCCAGUCGACUUCCAGAUAGAUCUCUUUGGUCAAAAAUGUGUCACAGCUCCAACUCUUUUUUUGUAAGAUGGUGAACACAGGCAGGGGCCACAUCUGACUUACCUCUAGCUCCAGGUACUAAAGAGCCACUGGGGAGAGCUCAGUCAUGUAAUCCAAUACUAUCUAAUCUCAGGUAUAUCUUUAUCAGCAGCAUGAAAACAGACUAAUACAAACUCCCUUCUAAUGAUUGGAAUACCACAGAUGUGAUAUGAUGUCACUUCUGAGAUUAGCCUAUGAAAGGACUGUGUCUUCUAUCUCUUGGAUUGCUCACUCUGGAGAAGCCAGCCAUCAUGCUGAAGGUCCAUGUGACAAGGGACAGAGGCCUGACAAAAUCCAUGUGAGUGAGCCUGCAAGAGGGUCCUCUGCAAGAUAAUCCUUCAGAUGACACCACAGACGUAGUUGACAACUGGACUGCAAUCUAAUAAAACACCUUGAGACAGAGGCACUCAGCUAAACCUAACCCUGAUUCCUGACACAUGGAAGCUGCAAAACAUGAACUACGGAGUCCCCAUCCAAGGCACUGAAUGAGAACAUCUGGAACACUCAAUAAAUAUUUCAUCAACAAAUAAAUGAGGGCUUUAAUUU